Pelobates cultripes (western spadefoot toad) is the source of this 207-nucleotide non-coding RNA. The record is from the annotation of a GenBank genome assembly. Lineage: Eukaryota; Metazoa; Chordata; Amphibia; Anura; Pelobatidae.
CUCAUUACACACAUCCUACCAGCCAUAACCCCUAUAACCGAACUGUUGCAACUUAAUCUGGUCCUCAGGAAAGCCCAGCUGCUGACCCCAGAAACAAACUGCAGCUCUCCUCUUGGCCCAGAAAAUAAAGGAAUGGCCCAUGAUCCAAGCCACUUAACUUAAGGAAGCAAAUGAAAAAUGUCAAGCACUGCUCCCACCAUGACAAAC